AGUGAACGCUGGCGGUAGGCCUAACACAUGCAAGUCGAACGGCAGCGCAGUAAGAGCUUGCUCUUACGGGUGGCGAGUGGCGGACGGGUGAGGAAUACAUCGGAAUCUACUUUUUCGUGGGGGAUAACGUAGGGAAACUUACGCUAAUACCGCAUACGACCUACGGGUGAAAGCAGGGGAUCUUCGGACCUUGCGCGAUUGAAUGAGCCGAUGUCGGAUUAGCUAGUUGGCGGGGUAAAGGCCCACCAAGGCGACGAUCCGUAGCUGGUCUGAGAGGAUGAUCAGACACACUGGAACUGAGACACGGUCCAGACUCCUACGGGAGGCGGCAGUGGGGAAUAUUGGACAAUGGGCGCAAGCCUGAUCCAGCCAUACCGCGUGGGUGAAGAAGGCAUUCGGGUUGUAAAGCCCUUUUGUUGGGAAAGAAAAGCAGCAGGUUAAUAACCCGCUGUUAUGACGGUACCCAAAGAAUAAGCACCGGCUAACUUCGUG
This 492-nucleotide ribosomal RNA is filed under the name uncultured bacterium. RNAcentral describes it as "partial 16S ribosomal RNA". It matches the Rfam family "Bacterial small subunit ribosomal RNA", at positions 29 to 507 of the family's 1533-position model. The record is from RNAcentral.